This 439-nucleotide ribosomal RNA is filed under the name uncultured bacterium. RNAcentral's name for it is "partial 16S ribosomal RNA". It matches the Rfam family "Bacterial small subunit ribosomal RNA", at positions 339 to 795 of the family's 1533-position model. The record is from RNAcentral.
CUACGGGCCGCACCAGUGAGGAAUAUUGCACAAUGGGGGGAACCCUGAUGCAGCAACGCCGCGUGGAGGAUGACGCAUUUCGGUGUGUAAACUCCUUUUAUGUGUCAAGAAAAUGACGGUAGCAUAUGAAUAAGCACCGGCUAACUCCGUGCCAGCAGCCGCGGUAAUACGGAGGGUGCAAGCGUUACUCGGAAUCACUGGGCGUAAAGGACGCGUAGGAGGGUUGGAAAGUCAGGUGUGAAAUCCUACAGCUUAACUGUAGAACUGCACUUGAAACUUCUAAUCUAGAGUAUGGGAGGGGGAGAUGGAAUUAGUGGUGUAGGGGUAAAAUCCGUAGAUAUCACUAGGAAUACCUAAAGCGAAGGCGAUCUCCUGGAACAUUACUGACGCUAAGGCGUGAAAGCGUGGGGAGCAAACAGGAUUAGAUACCCCGGUAGUC